AACGCUGGCGGCGUGCUUAACACACGCAAGUCGAGCGAUGAGGUUUCCUUCGGGAAACGGAUUAGCGGCGGACGGGUGAGUAACACGUGGGUAACCUACCUCAUAGAGUGGAAUAGCCUUCCGAAAGGAAGAUUAAUACCGCAUAACGUUGAAAGAUGGCAUCAUCAUUUAACCAAAGGAGCAAUCCGCUAUGAGAUGGACCCGCGGCGCAUUAGCUAGUUGGUGGGGUAACGGCCUACCAAGGCGACGAUGCGUAGCCGACCUGAGAGGGUGAUCGGCCACAUUGGGACUGAGACACGGCCCAGACUCCUACGGGAGGCAGCAGUGGGGAAUAUUGCACAAUGGGGGAAACCCUGAUGCAGCAACGCCGCGUGAGUGAUGAAGGUUUUCGGAUCGUAAAGCUCUGUCUUUGGGGAAGAUAAUGACGGUACCCAAGGAGGAAGCCACGGCUAACUACGUGCCAGCAGCCGCGGUAAUACGUAGGUGGCGAGCGUUAUCCGGAUUUACUGGGCGUAAAGGGAGCGUAGGCGGAUGAUUAAGUGGGAUGUGAAAUACCCGGGCUCAACUUGGGUGCUGCAUUCCUAACUGGUUAUCUAGAGUGCAGGAGAGGAGAGUGGAAUUCCUAGUGUAGCGGUGAAAUGCGUAGAGAUUACGAAGAACACCCAGUGGCGAAGGCGACUCUCUGGACUGUAACUGAC
This 698-nucleotide ribosomal RNA is filed under the name uncultured organism. Its description in RNAcentral is "SSU rRNA". It matches the Rfam family "Bacterial small subunit ribosomal RNA", at positions 32 to 744 of the family's 1533-position model. The record is from RNAcentral.